AUUGAACGCUGGCGGCAGGCCUAACACAUGCAAGUCGAACGGUAACAGGAAGAAGCUUGCUUCUUUGCUGACGAGUGGCGGACGGGUGAGUAAUGUCUGGGAAACUGCCUGAUGGAGGGGGAUAACUACUGGAAACGGUAGCUAAUACCGCAUAACGUCGCAAGACCAAAGAGGGGGACCUUCGGGCCUCUUGCCAUCGGAUGUGCCCAGAUGGGAUUAGCUAGUAGGUGGGGUAACGGCUCACCUAGGCGACGACCCCUAGCUGGUCUGAGAGGAUGACCGGCGACACUGGAACUGAGACACGGUCCAGACUCCUACGGGAGGCAGCAGUGGGGAAUAUUGCACAAUGGGCGCAAGCCUGAUGCAGCCAUGCCGCGUGUAUGAAGAAGGCCUUCGGGUUGUAAAGUACUUUCAGCGGGGAGGAAGGGAGUAAAGUUAAUACCUUGGCUGAUUGACGUUACCCGCAGAAGAAGCACCGGCUAACUCCGUG
This 490-nucleotide ribosomal RNA is filed under the name uncultured bacterium. RNAcentral describes it as "partial 16S ribosomal RNA". It matches the Rfam family "Bacterial small subunit ribosomal RNA", at positions 30 to 507 of the family's 1533-position model. The record is from RNAcentral.